UCGUGUUUCAAAAAAUAAACUACCCCUUUCAUAUUCUUUCUUUCUCUCCCGAGUCAUCUCCUUCUGAAACUCGAUCUGAUCACUGAGAAUCUACGACGACGAAGAAGGUGGAGGAGGAAGAGGAAGAAUGAGAAUCUCAGGCUACGUAAUCGUUGUUCUAUCUGUAACUAUAUUCUAUUGCGUCGAUCGUAGCAUUCACGCGCGUCCCGUCGUCCUCUCCAACGUCAAUCUCAACAGCGGCGGCGACGAUCCCGGAGGCGGAGACUCCUCUAACUUUGAGGAAUUCGGCGAAUCCGAACCCAAAUCCAAAGAGGAGCUCGAUCCCGGCUCGUGGCGACGGAACUUUCGAUAGGUUGAUGGAGGAGAUAGAGGCGGCUUCUUCAUCCGGAGAUCCGCACUCGCAGUCGCUGAUGGGCUUCGUCUACGGGACGGGGAUGAUGAGGGAGAAGAGCAAAAGCAAAUCCUUCCUUCGCCAUAACUUUGCUGCUGAAGGUGGGAACAUGCAGUCAAAGAUGACACUUGCCUUCACGUAUCAUGUAAUGCAGGUCGUCUCUUUCUUAAUGCAACUUCUGGAUAGCAAGUCAAACUUUAUUCGAUGAGUUGUGUGCCACAAACGUAAGUGACUCCACCAGUGGUACCGAAUACGGUGGAGUCCAGAAGCUGGAGACAGUUUCAUUAGCAGAGUUGAACGCCUACGUUCUAACCUCACCCCACAAUUCAUAUUCAGGACAAUGUCUCCUCCUUCACAUGCACUAUAUGUUUUAACGCAAGUGCUGUUGGAGUUGUGAGAUAACGUGUUGAGAUGAUGGUGGCAAAUGGAGAAGAAUCGGCUGUCUUUGUUGCCUUCGACACAGCUAUCACUAAGCUCACCAAUGCCAGGGCCACAGAGGUUUCCAACCCUAUUGGUUAUGGUGAGCAAGACCCAGCAGAAUAUAACCUCCCUUACUUCCUCCAAGACAUUGUUCGGAAGAGCUACAUUUCAUCUCAAGCUUACAGAGUUAACUUUUCUUUCCUCCAUGAGUUAUUUACUGUCGCCAGAAUCUUUGACCCCAAUCAGAGAAACCCAGGGCCCUCCUUUGCACUGCAUGGUGAGGGCAACAAUCAUGGUGACAAUAUCUCUGGGGAAAAUUGUGCUUCUUGCAAGUACCCUGUCGGUGACUCCUUCUCAAAGGACACUCAUCUUCCUGAAGCUAAUGACCAGACCAUUGGACCUGCAAGUGCUGUGCAAGAAGCGUCAAACACCUACCAGGUGGAGUCCAAUAGUGAGAAUGUUGAUGAUCCACAGGGACCACCACAAAGAAGGCCCGCAAAGGUUAGUUUUCACCAUGGAGCGGAAUAGAGGAACAAAUGUUUCUCCCAUGCAUAUCGUCAAGGCACUCACGUUAUGUUUUUCCAAAUAAUAGUUAUGACACUAAGUCCACCAUGAAAUUAAACAUUUUGCG
Brassica oleracea var. oleracea is the source of this 1442-nucleotide RNA transcript. RefSeq lists it as uncharacterized. The record is from RefSeq and is a predicted model, not a curated record. Lineage: Eukaryota; Viridiplantae; Streptophyta; Magnoliopsida; Brassicales; Brassicaceae. The transcript has 6 exons.